Armigeres subalbatus is the source of this 979-nucleotide long non-coding RNA. RefSeq lists it as uncharacterized. Lineage: Eukaryota; Metazoa; Arthropoda; Insecta; Diptera; Culicidae. The record is from RefSeq and is a predicted model, not a curated record. The transcript has 4 exons.
GUCAGAGCCCACUGAACUCCACAUGCCCCUUUGCAAUCGAAACUGAACCGCGACUGUAGUCGCACCCAUACCUAUCGAGAGGACUGUCCAUGAGACGAACGAAAACGUAGAGCAUAGAGGUUGACAGCUAGAGGCGUGAUGAGGAGCGUCGAACAGUAGAUACCGAUAGCUCAUUAUUAUAGAAGACAUUGCCAAUUGUUAAUAGGAAAGCAGAUGAAUUCGUGAAAUAAUCCCUACAAUAUUUAUUUUGUAUUUACCAGUGCUAAGUAGAAGCUAGUCAGGUGAAAAUUGUGAAAUUUAUAUGCUAAGCUGUAUUAUGCUAACUAUUCCCAUAACCGUGAUUACAGAUAUUGCUGAUGAUUUCCCUCUAGCCCAAACUGAAUUAUAAACACUAUCUGGUUAUUUAUAAGUGUCUAGUUAAAGAAUUGAAUUUGAUUAAUCCCUAUCUCCACGAGCCGACGGGUUUUAUGUAUUUAAAUAUAGACGUCAGUUGAUCCAAAAAGAGUAUUCAAACAGAAAACCUAGUUGAGUGGUAGCGUACACUACAGAAUUUUGUAAUUCUACAAUAAAUUAACAAAAUCAUCCAAACCCUACCGCCCAACAUCUUACAAAAUUCUGUAAGAAGGAUCAGAAUGUCCAGGAAAUCGCCAUCAAUAUUGUCUGGAGCUGGCUCUGGCUUGAUAGCGGACAGUCAUCCGCCAGCAGUAGGCGCCAAUGGUAGCGCUCCUGAGGAUCAAGGAACUCCACAUCACAACAACGCUGUGGUCACCGAUUUAUCCAACCUGUCCAUCGUGAACAACGCGAAACGCGGAACGAAGAGUGCAGUAGAACCGGUGGCGUGUGCAAAGGGCAACGCAGCUGUGGUAACGGGAGUGCGUUCCCUCCCCCCUCAGGUAAAUGCUGACGUAGCCAAUGUUGGAAAUUCCCUAGCCAGGGGAACAAAGCCCAAGCUUAAAUCUGGUGCCGGAGCAAGUGUCAC